This is a long non-coding RNA of Mandrillus leucophaeus (drill), 886 nucleotides long. RefSeq lists it as uncharacterized. The record is from RefSeq and is a predicted model, not a curated record. NCBI's taxonomy places the organism in Eukaryota, Metazoa, Chordata, Mammalia, Primates, Cercopithecidae. The transcript is spliced from 2 exons.
CAGCUCUCGAGCAGAUCCCUGACACACUGAAGGAGCUUCCUGUGCCACACUUACAGCCUUUCUGCUUUUCCCCCAAGACGAAGAGCUGCCCCUGCCACUGGACCUGCCUCCUCCUCCACCCCUGGAUGGAGAUGAAUUAGGGCUGCCUCCACCCCCACCAGGCUUUGGGCCUGAUGAGCCCAGCUGGGUGCCUGCCUCAUACUUGGAGAAAGUGGUGACACUGUACCCAUACAUCGGCCAGAAGGACAAUGAGCUCUCCUUCUCUGAGGGCACUGUCAUCUGUGUCACUCGCCGCUACUCCGAUGGCUGGUGCGAGGGCAUCAGCUCAGAGGGGACUGGAUUCUUCCCCGGAAACUAUGUGGAGCCCAGCUGCUGACAGCCCAGGGCUCUCUGGGCAGCUGAUGCCUGCACUGAGUGGGUUUCAUGAACCCCAGGCCAAAACCAGCUCCAGUCACGGCUGGACUGGGUCUGUCCAGCUCUUGGGCUGUGAGCUGUGUUCUGUCCCUCUUCCCAUCGUGGAGGGAAGGGGUCCUGCGGAGAGAGAACUUACCCAGAGGCCUGUUGCAGAUGGGGAAGAGCUGGAAACCAAGAAGUUUGUCAACAGAGGACCCCUACUCCAUGCAGGGCAGGGUCUCCUGCUGCAAGUCCCAACUUUGAAUAAAAUGGAUGACGUCCUGUGACUGCCCCACGGAGAUAAGGGGCCAGGAGGGAUUGAAAGGCAUCCCAAUUCUAAGGCUGCUGCUAAUUACAGCCCCCAACCUCCAACCCACCAGCUGCCCCAGAAGCAGCAUCUUUCCAGUCCCUCAGUACCCACAAAGUGCAGCCCACAUUGGACCCCAGACACCCCUCUGCAGCCAUUGACUGCAACUUGUUCUUUUGCCCAUUG